This is a small nuclear RNA of Dermacentor silvarum, 122 nucleotides long. The record is from RefSeq and is a predicted model, not a curated record. Lineage: Eukaryota; Metazoa; Arthropoda; Arachnida; Ixodida; Ixodidae.
AUGCGAUGUAAAAGGAGAGAUGGUCAGCACUCCCCUUGAUAAGCAGGAAAGAAGAGCAAGAAGACAGAAAGAAAGUGAGAAAGGGGGGCGAAUUUCUCUUCGCGCGGAGUCGGGAAUUUUUU